AGAGUUCGAUUAUGGCUCAGGAUGAACGCUGGCGGCGUGCUUAACACAUGCAAGUCGAGCGAAGCAGUUAAGUUGAUUUCUUCGGAUUGAUUCUUAAUUGACUGAGCGGCGGACGGGUGAGUAACGCGUGGGUGACCUGCCCCAUACCGGGGGAUAACAGCUGGAAACGGCUGCUAAUACCGCAUAAGCGCACAGAGCUGCAUGGCUCGGUGUGAAAAACUCCGGUGGUAUGGGAUGGGCCCGCGUCUGAUUAGGCAGUUGGCGGGGUAACGGCCCACCAAACCGACGAUCAGUAGCCGGCCUGAGAGGGCGACCGGCCACAUUGGGACUGAGACACGGCCCAA
This 344-nucleotide ribosomal RNA is filed under the name uncultured bacterium. Its description in RNAcentral is "bacterial SSU rRNA". It matches the Rfam family "Bacterial small subunit ribosomal RNA", at positions 8 to 334 of the family's 1533-position model. The record is from RNAcentral.